RNAcentral lists this ribosomal RNA (493 nucleotides) under uncultured bacterium. RNAcentral describes it as "partial 16S ribosomal RNA". It matches the Rfam family "Bacterial small subunit ribosomal RNA", at positions 29 to 508 of the family's 1533-position model. The record is from RNAcentral.
AGUGAACGCUGGCGGUAGACCUAACACAUGCAAGUCGAACGGCAGCACAGUAAGAGCUUGCUCUUACGGGUGGCGAGUGGCGGACGGGUGAGGAAUACAUCGGAAUCUACUUUUUCGUGGGGGAUAACGUAGGGAAACUUACGCUAAUACCGCAUACGACCUACGGGUGAAAGCAGGGGAUCUUCGGACCUUGCGCGAUUGAAUGAGCCGAUGUCGGAUUAGCUAGUUGGCGGGGUAAAGGCCCACCAAGGCGACGAUCCGUAGCUGGUCUGAGAGGAUGAUCAGCCACACUGGAACUGAGACACGGUCCAGACUCCUACGGGAGGCAGCAGUGGGGAAUAUUGGACAAUGGGCGCAAGCCUGAUCCAGCCAUACCGCGUGGGUGAAGAAGGCCUUCGGGUUGUAAAGCCCUUUUGUUGGGAAAGAAAAGCAGCAGGUUAAUACCCCGCUGUUCUGACGGUACCCAAAGAAUAAGCACCGGCUAACUUCGUGC